CCCUUAGAUGUUCUUGGCUGCACGCGCGCUACACUGAUGCACUCAACGAGUUUACGACCUUGCCCGAUAGGGUUGGGUAAUCUUUUUAAAAUGCAUCGUGAUGGGGAUAGAUUAUUGCAAUUAUUAAUCUUCAACGAGGAAUUCCUAGUAAGCGCGAGUCAUCAGCUCGUGCUGAUUACGUCCCUGCCCUUUGUACACACCGCCCGUCGCUCCUACCGAUUGAGUGCUCAGGUGAAUAAUUCGGACUGCAGCAAUGUUUGGAUCCCGAACGUUGCAGCGGAAAGUUUAGUGAACCUUAUCACUUAGAGGAAGGAGAAGUCGUAACA
This 326-nucleotide ribosomal RNA is filed under the name uncultured eukaryote. RNAcentral describes it as "partial 18S ribosomal RNA". It matches the Rfam family "Eukaryotic small subunit ribosomal RNA", at positions 1470 to 1796 of the family's 1831-position model. The record is from RNAcentral.